UUCCAGACUCCUACGGGAGGCAGCAGUGGGGAAUAUUGCACAAUGGGGGAAACCCUGAUGCAGCGACGCCGCGUGAGCGAUGAAGUAUUUCGGUAUGUAAAGCUCUAUCAGCAGGGAAGAAGAUGACGGUACCUGACUAAGAAGCCCCGGCUAACUACGUGCCAGCAGCCGCGGUAAUACGUAGGGGGCAAGCGUUAUCCGGAUUUACUGGGUGUAAAGGGAGCGUAGACGGCGGCGCAAGCCAGAUGUGAAAGCCCGGGGCUCAACUCCGGGACUGCAUUUGGAACUGUGUGGCUGGAGUGUCGGAGAGGCAGGCGGAAUUCCUAGUGUAGCGGUGAAAUGCGUAGAUAUUAGGAGGAACACCAGUGGCGAAGGCGGCCUGCUGGACGAUGACUGACGUUGAGGCUCGAAAGCGUGGGGAGCAAACAGGAUUAGAUACCCUAGUAC
This 447-nucleotide ribosomal RNA is filed under the name uncultured bacterium. Its description in RNAcentral is "bacterial SSU rRNA". It matches the Rfam family "Bacterial small subunit ribosomal RNA", at positions 329 to 793 of the family's 1533-position model. The record is from RNAcentral.